GCAGAGAUCUCGUUGUCAUCAACUGUUUGUGGAAUGCUAAAGACCUACCUACGCUCCUCUUUGGAUGGUGGGCAGAGUAAAGUUUAGUUGCGGCCUAUCCAGAGAUCAUUGGCCACCCUACCUCUAGUACAACAAAGCCAGUGUGAGAUGAAAGAGGUAUGUCAGAUGUGUAACAAAGAAGUUCUUGUUCACGAGCAUUUGUGGGCAUGUACUGAAGGAUUAGACUCUGAUGAAUCCUCU
This is a non-coding RNA of Paramuricea clavata, 240 nucleotides long. The record is from the annotation of a GenBank genome assembly. NCBI's taxonomy places the organism in Eukaryota, Metazoa, Cnidaria, Anthozoa, Malacalcyonacea, Plexauridae.